Molecule: transfer RNA, 71 nt
Filed under: Scriptaphyosemion bertholdi
Lineage: Eukaryota; Metazoa; Chordata; Actinopteri; Cyprinodontiformes; Nothobranchiidae
Description: tRNA-Val
Rfam family: tRNA
About the family: Transfer RNA (tRNA) molecules are approximately 80 nucleotides in length.
Source: RNAcentral
CAGAGUGUAGCUAAAAAGUAAAGCAUCUCCCUUACACCGAGAAGGUACUCGUGCAAAUCGAAUCAUUCUGA